GAGCAACCUGCCCCUGACUCUGGGAUAAGCGCUGGAAACGGCGUCUAAUACUGGAUAUGUGACGUGACCGCAUGGUCUGCGUUUGGAAAGAUUUUUCGGUUGGGGAUGGGCUCGCGGCCUAUCAGCUUGUUGGUGAGGUAAUGGCUCACCAAGGCGUCGACGGGUAGCCGGCCUGAGAGGGUGACCGGCCACACUGGGACUGAGACACGGCCCAGACUCCUACGGGAGGCAGCAGUGGGGAAUAUUGCACAAUGGGCGGAAGCCUGAUGCAGCAACGCCGCGUGAGGGAUGACGGCCUUCGGGUUGUAAACCUCUUUUAGCAGGGAAGAAGCGAGAGUGACGGUACCUGCAGAAAAAGCGCCGGCUAACUACGUGCCAGCAGCCGCGGUAAUACGUAGGGCGCAAGCGUUAUCCGGAAUUAUUGGGCGUAAAGAGCUCGUAGGCGGUCUGUCGCGUCUGCUGUGAAAUCCCGAGGCUCAACCUCGGGCUUGCAGUGGGUACGGGCAGACUAGAGUGCGGUAGGGGAGAUUGGAAUUCCUGGUGUAGCGGUGGAAUGCGCAGAUAUCAGGAGGAACACCGAUGGCGAAGGCAGAUCUCUGGGCCGUAACUGACGCUGAGGAGCGAAAGGGGGAGAACA
This 637-nucleotide ribosomal RNA is filed under the name Microbacterium sp. VK13-3. RNAcentral's name for it is "bacterial SSU rRNA". It matches the Rfam family "Bacterial small subunit ribosomal RNA", at positions 119 to 770 of the family's 1533-position model. Lineage: Bacteria; Bacillati; Actinomycetota; Actinomycetes; Micrococcales; Microbacteriaceae. The record is from RNAcentral.